GUCCCAGGAUCCCCAGAGGGAGGGGCUCCACACAUUUUGGGGAGUGGGACCUUACCUCCUUGUCCUUGGGAUGGGGACAGGGGGCUGCUGUUGUGUAGGGACCAGGCCGAUGGGCUUUAUCUCUACUUCUCAAAGAUGGGGCUGCUGGCUCACCAGUGGGUCUCCCUCACUGCCGUCUCCCUUUCUUAAGGACAGCAAAGGAGGGUAAAGUUCCUGUGUUUGGGUUAAUCACUCCCCUCCCCACAUGUGUUUCCUUCUCAUACUGUGAUUUUUGCCCUCCUACCCACGCAAACCUGGUGUAGGUGAAAAGCUCGCUGGGAAGCAUGGCUUGGGUUAAGUUCUUGCCUUUCUUAAUUUUAGGGACAGCUGUGACGAAGGAGGGGAACAGGGUGUUCUCUCCUGUAGCCCUUUUUCUUCCCUCCCACUCUCAAUCUCCAGGGACCUUUUGGCUUGCUUCCUUGGCCAGAAGCCCAUAGUCCUAAAGAGUAGGGCAAGGAAGGCUUGGGGCCUCUCUGCCCAUGCCAUCUCCAGCUCCCUGUGAUCAGGUUAGGUGAGCUGCUCCUCCCUACUACUCAUGGGAAGAUGCCCAGGGCCUUCCAUAGCCUUCCCUUCUGGCCCAAAGCCAAACAGACUUGGUGCUGUGCAAAGCCAGCAGGAACUUGUGUGUCUCCAGGACCUAGUAUGUGGGGAGGAAGGAGUGUGUUUGUCUGUAGGUGUCUGUGAAAGGCGAGUGUGUGAAUGUGAGAAAGGGAGGCAAAGGGGUGUGUCUGCAGGUAUCUCUAGGGUUAUGUGCAGGUGGGUACCUGUGAGGGUACCUGGAGCCGCCAUCUGAUACUUUCCUCAAAACCAACAGUGAGGAGGUUUCCUCAAAACCCACAGUGAGAGGGGAGGGCCCUGGGAAGCAAAGUUCCUUUUGUGUUCUUUGGGUUGAAAACUCCUACUUUCCUCUUGGGUGCCUCACUCUGUGGGCUCUCCCCUCAGGCCUCUCCGUUGCUUGCAUAAAGCCCCCUUGGAGCAGAGGGAGAGGGUCCCAGGGCUACAUAACUGGAAGUACAGACUCCGAGAUGAGGAAGAAAAAGAUGGUGCUAUACCCAAGUUCUUUCUCUCUGCUUGUUAGCAGCUGUGACAGCCCUUUCUUGGUUUUAUUCAUCUCUGGGUUUUCCUGUCACCCUUCUGCCCCCUACUCCACUAUCAUAACCCUGAGGCCAACCAAGUUCUACAGUUAACAUCUUGUCCCUUUGCCUACUUGUACCCAGCAGGGCCUUUGAUGAGGGAGGAGACCUGAAGGUACUGGGGGGCUUAUCCAACAAAGUCAUCACAGGUAUUUUUAUCAACGGUGUGUUAGUUGAUGUGGAAAUAUUCUCCCCAAAUCCGAGCAUUUAGGAAAUGACUGCUGGGGGAGGAGCCCCUGCCUGACCAAUCCCCUUUCCCUUUUUGGAUGGGGGUGAGGGCAGGAGGCGUAUCUUAUAUUGGGCAAUUUGGGGGGUGAGGGAAGCAGGAGGAAGCAAUCUUGGGAGCCUUGGGGGAGGUUGGUCCAUUCCAUUUCUUCUUGAUCUCAAAGCACAAUGUGGAUUCUGGGACCAAAGGACAGGCACACAUCUGUUAGGAGGACCUGGGGUUGGGAGGGUGAGUGGAUGGGAGGAGCUCCACCUCCCCUCACAGAGAGGGCUUGGAGGACAAGAAGCAACCUGUUUUCCUUCAGUUUAAUUUUCCUUCCAAAACAAGGCAAGACAGCCGUUGGAAUCUUGGUGCCUGCCCUUAUACUCCUCCUGUCCUAAAAAUAGAGGUAACGUUUUCUUACACACCCCCAGAGAGAGGAAGAACUGACGCACUGGUGCUGAGGGACCCAGGGGCUGCUGGGAGUCCUUAUUGCUUGCCAGAACCUUCCAUGCCUAGAAGAGCACAGAACCCUGAGGGCUGGGCCGAGUCCCUGGUCUUUUCUUACAGCUCACAGAGGUCUCUUAGCCAAAAUCUAAUCCCAGAAAAGAUGCAUCAAAGCUAGAAUGUGAAUAUAACUUUAGUGGACCAAUAAUAAAAUACAAGAAGCCCAAUGGUGAGAAAAGUGAGUUCUCCUAGCACUGCUUCCUGUUUUCUCCCUCAUGUCCCUCCAGGGAAUACGGUUGCUUAAUUUCUGCCUUUUUCCCCUCACAUAUGCACUUUUGGGCCUUUUUUUUUUAUAGCUGGGAAAAAAAAAUGCCACCCCACAAACCUGUAUUUAAAAAGAAACAAACGACCAUGCAAAAUUUGCCUCUGUCUAAACAUUUCAUCUGUGUGUGUGAUGCCGUCCAUUCAUCUUUUUAUAUGGGAUUGUUGUCUUUUUUGGUCUGUUUUGGUCCCCUCCCUUGUGGGCUUGUGCUUGGGAUCAAAUCUCUCUGGCCUGUUAUUCUGAACAUUUGACUUGAACCACAAGUGAAUCUUUCUCCUGGUGACUCAAAUAAAAGUAUAAUUUUUACCUGCUGACUUGGUUUCCUCUCUGGCUCUGAGGUUCUGGUGUGUGUGCGCCUACCCUGUCUGCUUGGGACGCCCUCCAGCGAGAAGAACAAGCCCAUUGGAAGACUUCAGCCUGGGAGGGAGGGAGAAAAGAGCAGCUUGCCUGCCUUCCCUACUGAGGCCUUGGUACCUACUUCCUCCUUUGUGAACCCUCUUCCCAGCAGCCUGCUCCUGGCUACGGCCCAUUCAUCCCUCUCUGCCCAGCUUGUGGAUGCUGCCAGAAGCUUCCCUUAGCUCCUGUAAUCUCAUUAGUGUUUUGACUUAGUUAUGUUUCUGUCUCCCCAAACGAUCAUGAGGGCAGGUUAUUGGUUGCCAUCAAGUUGAUACCAACCCAUGGCAACCCCAUGUGUGCAGAAUAGAACAACACUUCAUAGGAUUUUCAAGCCUGUGACCUUUCAGGAGCAGAUUGCUGAGGCUCUUCUGAGGUGCCUCUGGGUGGAUUCGAGCUGCCAGCCUUUUGGCUAGUAGUCGAGCACUUAAACUUUGUGCCACCCAAGGGACCAUGAGGGCAGGUAAUGGGUUUAAUUCCCCAGAACCUACCCAAGGACGAGCACAUACCUGCUCAAUAAAUAUUUAUUCAAUUAACUAAUGAGCUCAGCUUGGGAAUGGAACGGUUAUAGAACUCUCUACCACUGCCUGGUUAAUUAAAGAAAUGACAGACUGGGACAAUUUGCCAUGGGAUAAAACAUGGAUAAGGCCUGAGCCCGACUAGGGUGGUCUGGCAACCCAAAGGAGUAUCCACAGUGCCAUGUGAAUAUGAUCUUUAACUCACAUUCUUUCAUUUAAUCUUGUGAUUAAAUCAGCCCUGUGGGAGAAGUAACUACCGCGAUGUCCAUCUUACAGAUGAGGUUCACCAAAACUCAGAAAAGGGAAGUGGUUUGGUGGCAGUUGCAUAGAUAGGAGCAGAGCUGUGGGUCUUAGGAUCGCCGGGGCAGCACUCAUAGUCUUAUGCUACGCUCCCUGUGUGCUCAUGCCUUUUGCAGCUCUCCUAUCAGCACCAAUUGCCCCAGGUGCCCAGGGUCUGUGACCUCUGCCCAGAAGGCCAGGUACCUCCCCUCUUUCUGUGUGGGGUUGGAAGUACGGGUAGGGCAAGAAGUUCAGUCCCUUCCACCUUCAGCCCCUCCAGCCUUGUGCCACCAGUUAGCCUCACAUCCAGCUGCUUUGUGGAGAGGGGUAUUUCCCGUUUUCGGCUCAGAAUUAAGGCAUUCUCUCGCCUCAGGAUAGCAGCAGGGAGAAGAGAGGGGUUUUCCUUGAACUGAGCGUUUGUAAUCAGGAAAAUGAUAUGUACAGAGUCAGCAGAACUGAAGGAGUGUGGGAGUGUCUGUGUCAUUGGGUGGUAUAAUUAAAGACAAUACUGACACUGCUCCCCUCCAAAGGAGCUGGCUGCCUAAUAUUUUCCCAAUAAAGGGGAAUUAGUUGGCAAAUUGUGCCUUCUGUCACCUGCCCCCUUUUGUCUGGAGCUGUAGCCCACUCUCCCCAGGAGGCUUCAUUCAUUAUCAGAGAGAUUUGAAGCUUUGGAGAGCAUAGGUGCCAAGUCUUCACUCCCAGCUCACAGAAAGCUCUGUUCUCUGCCUCUUGGAGGUGGGCCAAUGGGAAGAGUCUCUAGACACCCUACUAGAAGUGGCCUAAGUUCCUCAGGCCUGGCAUGGGGGGGAGGGCGGUGCGUGGGUACUAAUACCGUUACCCUCAGGACCUCCAAAAAAAACUACUUGGAUUGGAGCCAAAGAGAAGGCCUCAGAUAUGUCACUGGGAAUUUUUUUUAACUUGAAAUAAGAACAAGAAACAACACAAGAUAUAACUGAAUACUCACCAUCCAGCUUAAAAAAGACUCAGUCCUUCUCCCUUAGAGGAAACCACUAUCUUGAAUUUUCACGUCUAGAUAACUCUUACUUACACAGGUAUGGGGCUAAAGGAAUUCUUCAGUGUCCUCUAUAUGUAUACACUGCUGAGCUCUCCAGAGAGGAAACAAAACAAGCCUAUGGGCUAUGGCUACAAAGAGAUGAAGGAACAGAUGGAAAGACUGCCAAACUCGUACUGUAAAUGGAUGUGAGCAAAAUGCCUGGCAAACUGAGCAGCACAGGUAGGGUUGACGGGCCUUUCAGACCAGUGUGGGCAAUAGAAAGAGUAUGGACUGUGGAGUCAGCCAAGCCUAGGUUUGAAUCUUGGUUGCUGCCAUUUCAAAGCUGUGGAACAUAAGGCAAGUUACUGAUGGAUCUCUGAGCCUUUCGAUAGAAGAGUUGUAGGGAGGUUGAAAUUAUACCAUGUGUGUGAUAUCUGGUGCAGAUAUCCCAUAAAUGUUAGCUUCAUCACCAGGGAUGCCAGCUGACACUCACGUGGUGAGACCUUUAUUCCCCACCCCCACCCCGCUAAAGUGACCUUUACUGUUGUUGUUAGUUGCUGUCAAGUGAGCUCUGACUCAUGACUUCACGUACAGCAGAAUGAAACAUUGCCCGAUCCUGGGCUGUCUUCACAGUCGUUCAUGUGCUUGAGCCCAUUGUUGUGGCCACUGUGUAUUUUGAGUGCCUUCCAACCUAAGGGGCUCAUCUUCUAGCACUGUAUUGGGGCAAUAUUCUGUUGUAUUCCACAGGAUAUUCAUUGGCUAAUUUUCAGAAGUAAAUCACCAGGCCUUUCUUUCUAGACCAUCUUAGUCUGGAAGCUCUGCUAAAACUUGUUUACCAUGAGUGACCCUGCUGGAAAUACUGGGGACAUAGUUUCCAGCAUGCAGCAUGCAAGCCACCAUAAACUAAAAAGACAAACUAACAGACGGGCGUUGGAAAGUGAACUUUAGACCUUGCAAAUGACCCAUUCAAUUCCCAACUAUUAUUAUUCUCUGGCCACAAUUUGCCAGCAAGGAAAAAGGACGCAGAGAGGCAGUCAAGAGAAUUCAUUCUGAAUGGCCAUCUAAGAUACAACUAUUGGUCUCUUCCCACCUGGAGGAAAGGAGAGUGAAGAAAACCAAAGACUCAAGGAAGCAAUUAGUCCAAAGGAGUAAUGACCACAUGAACCACAGCCUCCACUAGCCCAAGACCAGAACUAGAUGGUGUCUGGCUAACACUAUUGACAGCUCUGACUCGGGUCCCAGACAUAGCGGGAGAAAAAUGUAGAACAAAAAAUAAAAUUCACAAAAAAGACCCCACUUACUGGGCUGACAGAGACUGGAGGAACCCUCAAGGGUACGGCCUAAGACACCCUUCUGACCUGGAACUAAAUCCAUCCCGGAGACCGCCUUUCAGCCAAACGAUAGACAGGCCCAUAAAAUAAAUAAUAACACCCAAGAGAAACAUGUUCCUUAGAACAGUCAAUUAUAUGAGAUCAAAAGAACAGCGUUUGCCCAAAAGCAAAGAUGAGAAGGCAGGAAGGGGUACAAAAUCCGGGCAAAAGGAAAUGGGGAACCCAGGGUGGAAAUGGGGAGAGUGCAGACACAUUGAGGGGAAGGUAACCAAUGUCUUGGAACACUUUAAGUAUAAACUGCUGAAUGGGAAACUAAUUUGCUCUGUACACUUUCACAUAAGGCACAAUUUAAAAAAAAAAAAAAAAGCAUCUCAAGGUCUGGAUAGAGAUACACCCCCUCCUACAUCCAUAUCAUGCAGACUACAUUUAGAUACAGACUACAUUUGGUGGGUAGGGUUCCUGGGAAGAAUGUGAACCUCUUCAGUUCUGCCUGGUCUAAAUCUAGCAGUUCCCUGGUUACUCACCCCCGGGGCUUUGUGAUUGGCUGACUGUGAGGUAGAGAUGGAGGGGAGGGAAGGAAGCUGCUGAUGGAGCUGCUGCACCCUUAGUCUCAGGCCUCGGGAGGGGGAGGGGAAAGAACGAGGGGUGAGCAGUGAAGGCAGGAGGGAGCCAUUUCUCUUCGCCGACCGCAACCUCCCUGUCACAGCUCACGUUUCCCUGGAAUCCAGGGGCCUCAUCGGCCAAGGGCUCCAUAAUGCUGGAUAUUUUCAUCCUGAUGUUCUUUGCCAUCAUAGGCCUGGUCAUUCUGUCCUACAUUAUCUAUCUGCUCUAGUGGCCUGGAAUCUGCGGUUCGGAGCCCUCAAGAGAGCAGCUUGGAGGGGAAGGAUGAAGCUAAACGGCCCGAGCAUCCCGCCUGCGGACGCAACGGUGGAUUUGUGCUUCUGGUCAUUAUUCCGGCUCCUGGUCUCCAGUCCAACAGAGAGGCCUCUUAUCGACAGCAGCAGUUGGGCUGCCCAGCAGACCUCUCCCAGAGCCUUCUGGAUAUGAUUAACCCCUGGCAAGCAACGGGCUUUUUGAGCUCAGAGGCAGAGGCACACAGCUGGAACAUCAGGAAUUCAUGGACAAGGCUGGCAGAUGCUGCGUGCAUUUGAGCUGUAGAUAAAGAGCACAGAGAGUUGAAAUACAGAUUCAUUAAAGUUACCAUGGAGAACUGC
Loxodonta africana (African savanna elephant) is the source of this 6875-nucleotide long non-coding RNA. RefSeq lists it as uncharacterized. NCBI's taxonomy places the organism in Eukaryota, Metazoa, Chordata, Mammalia, Proboscidea, Elephantidae. The transcript has 2 exons. The record is from RefSeq and is a predicted model, not a curated record.